RNAcentral lists this ribosomal RNA (533 nucleotides) under uncultured bacterium. Its description in RNAcentral is "bacterial SSU rRNA". It matches the Rfam family "Bacterial small subunit ribosomal RNA", at positions 775 to 1304 of the family's 1533-position model. The record is from RNAcentral.
CUAAUAGACUACCCGAGGUAGUCCACGCCGUAAACGAUGAGUGCUAAGUGUUAGGGGGUUUCCGCCCCUUAGUGCUGCAGCUAACGCAUUAAGCACUCCGCUUGGGGAGUACGGUCGCAAGACUGAAACUCAAAGGAAUUGACGGGGGCCCGCACAAGCGGUGGAGCAUGUGGUUUAAUUCGAAGCAACGCGAAGAACCUUACCAGGUCUUGACAUCCCGUUGACCACUGUAGAGAUAUGGUUUUCCCUUCGGGGACAACGGUGACAGGUGGUGCAUGGUUGUCGUCAGCUCGUGUCGUGAGAUGUUGGGUUAAGUCCCGCAACGAGCGCAACCCUUGAUCUUAGUUGCCAUCAUUUAGUUGGGCACUCUAAGGUGACUGCCGGUGACAAACCGGAGGAAGGUGGGGAUGACGUCAAAUCAUCAUGCCCCUUAUGACCUGGGCUACACACGUGCUACAAUGGACGAUACAAACGGUUGCCAACUCGCGAGAGGGAGCUAAUCCGAUAAAGUCGUUCUCAGUUUGGAUUGUAGG